AUGGUCAUCGGCAUUUGUUUUUCUUGUAAUGAUAUUGAUAUGCUCCCUUUGCAUCUUUUAUCUCAUAUGCCAUGCCAUGACCACCUAGCUUCGGAUAUACAUUGUUUUGGGUAUUACCCAUUUUCUCCAUAUGAUGUUUCCAAUAUUGCACAUGAGGAGACCCCCAUAGUUUCCUCAUUCAUUUUAGGAAAUUUUGAUCACUCCCAUCAAUUGCAUGAUCCUUAUACUUGUAUGCUCAAUUUGCAUCCCCAUCGUGUUAUACACAAUAACUAUUCUUUCAUGAUGGCUGACAUGUUCUUAUACCAUGCAUCAAAUUUCUUUGAGCGAUGCUUAUCUUGUACUAACUUUGACGUGCACAUACACAUCAUGAUGGAUGAUGUGUACAUUUACGACACACACAAUUUCUUUGGCUUGCGUUUCUUUUGUUUAGGUACCCAUGAAUACUUGUCAACCCCGCAAUCCCACGAGUUGACCAAACGAGCUCUAGAGAGCAACGAUGACUUGGGAUCCCAGGGAUUGUCUUUCCCACCGCUCUCUUUGCGCAAAGACUCCGCACAAUUCUUCUACAUGACCCUCUCUUGGAUAUGGGUUAUUGUACACUACAUAUUCUAUGCCCAUCUUGCCAUGUUCACUUUGCAUAAUGUGUCAUUACUAUGCUUUUGCCAUGCAUUUGUGACCCAUGCUUUGCAUUACACAUGA
This 699-nucleotide ribosomal RNA is filed under the name Triticum aestivum (bread wheat). RNAcentral describes it as "partial small subunit ribosomal RNA". Lineage: Eukaryota; Viridiplantae; Streptophyta; Magnoliopsida; Poales; Poaceae. The record is from RNAcentral.